UUACCAAGGUAAUGCCGACAUCGAGCCAGGCGCUCAUACUUAAGAAAGGCGUACUGACGGAGGAUGAAGUGCGACCGACGUCGUCGGGACAUUGGCCGGGAUCUCAGUGCUCUGUGCCGACAGGUGUGAGAUCAGGUCCCCAGUACGCGUUCCGUACCCCGGUCCACUGCAGCAUCGUGACCGUCUACAACUUUGGGCAGGGGCCGGUGGGCGGGGGAGUGACAACCGGACCCCGACGCUAUGCACGCCCUUGGGCGCGAGUCUGCGCAGCUCUUCAAGCAUCAACCGCUACCGAGGGGUUACACCAGCAUCCUCGCAUUCGACCCAGACUCGAAAUCUUAUCAGUGGCGUGCGCAGGGCGGGUCUGGUUCCUCCAUGGAAGUUGAUAAAGUGGACAGCCGGCCCACUUCCGGUCGGUGUCGGCCCUUAACCGCCGGGCCAGACAGAUCGUACAUCUCUGCAAAGUGACGCGGGAUCGCCGGACGAUCUAGCUUGCCCGGACGCCAAUGUCAUGCUCAGUGACAACAUCGACCGGAUCGCCCUAAGUCUGCACAUGCGCAGUGACACACGACCCAGUCGUUCGAACGGCGCAGUUUUCAGUUUCCGAAACAACGAAAAUGUGUCCCACUCGGAGGUGCAGUACCUAAUACAGACUCAACUCGGAGUUCCCGUACGAAGUACCCAGUUCGAUCCCCUUGAUAUCCGGUCGGCGCAACCAGGCGUCAACACCCGCUGGGUGGUCGAAUUGUGUACUACAGCGGAUAUGACAAAAGCAAUACAGUCGGGACUUCAAGCGGGCACGUGCAAGCUGGUGUUUUACCCGCACGAUGACAUCACUAGACGGGAAACCGCGGCCUAUAUAAACUACAUGGAGGUUGUAAACGCGCAUGCAGUGAUAGCGAAUUCUGCUGAUUAUUCAGUGUGCGGGAAACUUAAAACACGCAGUUUCCAGCGGUUUAUGCCACUCGCAACCUUAAAGCUAUCAUGAAGAUCAAUAAAUGGAAGUGACUUUUUGAAACUAUGUGACUAUGUUCUUAUGUUUAUUUAUGUCAUUUGGAAUAUGUACAAUAACAUGUACCAGAAAUGACUCGAUUUUUUAAGUCAGGUACAGAUUGAAGUGGGAAACUUACAUAACCGUCAUUUCA
RNA transcript from Dreissena polymorpha, 1145 nucleotides. RefSeq lists it as uncharacterized. Lineage: Eukaryota; Metazoa; Mollusca; Bivalvia; Myida; Dreissenidae. The record is from RefSeq and is a predicted model, not a curated record. The transcript has 5 exons.